Molecule: long non-coding RNA, 1774 nt
Organism: Olea europaea var. sylvestris
Lineage: Eukaryota; Viridiplantae; Streptophyta; Magnoliopsida; Lamiales; Oleaceae
Exons: 2
Source: RefSeq, a predicted model, not a curated record
AUUAAAUUAAAUGCUCUGCCAGUCUCAUGACACAUCUUUCUUUGCACACCAUAUUUUUCAUUUCCUGUUGCUUUCCUUUUCUCUUUCUUUUGCUUUCCCAUUCUUUCCCCGAAUUUUCUUCUCUUCACCUUUCGCAGGGGUUUUCUCUAUUGUCCUCAGUACUUGACUGUUCACAUGGCCGGAAUCAAGUUGCCGUCGGAGGAUGUAGAAACCAAACCGCCUUCUCUAGAGUUCUUUCCCUAUCGAUAAUCUCACACCCACUAAAUGGGUUUUGUAUAGCUGAUGGUCUGUGAUUUCAGCAUCGUUUCUCCUUAACCUUUCACAUAAGCUCUACGAAAGCGCAAAACUGCUGCUCUCGAGGUAGAAGGGAUACUGAAUCAAUUGCCGCAACUGGAGAUCAUGAUAUAAUUAUUGCAGGGAUGUAGCAAUUUGUUUGAUUUAGUGUAAUUUUUAUGUUACAAAGCCAGUGUUGGAAGCUAGGGGCAAAAGUAGAGUUUGAAUGAUGAGAAAAACAAAAUUAUAUUGGCUUGAAAUUUUUUUAUGUGUACUUAAGAUUUUGAAUGGUGAAUAGUUGAUUAUAUAUUAUUGUUGUAAAUAAAUAUUAAUUGUUGAAUUCGGAUUAUUGAUCAAGAUUUUGUCUUUCACUGCUUGGUUUUAAUUUAUAUAAAUGCAUUUAAAGAACUUAAAUUUUUCAAAAUUGUUUCUUUAUUAUAUUGAGCAUAAUCUGGAAAUGAUAGUGAAAAUGAUUAUAGAUCAUUUGAACUUCUAUCUUCAAAUUAAGCAUCACUUUGUAGUUAUUCUUAAGGUAGAAUCAUAUUCUGCUUGACACUAACGUGUAACUAAUUUCUAGAAUAUAUUGAACUAAGCGUAGACAUUCAUUUCAUUGUGUUGGCCAAGUAUGUCUUAGAACACAAAUUUACCUACUUAGCCCAUGUUUGACCCCCAUUACCUAAAAAUGAAAAUGGGGGAAAUAGUAUUUUUUUUUAAAAAAAAUGAGUGAUUGAAAAAGAAGGAAAAGUUUUCGAUUUACGUGUAAUAUUAUUUUAUGGAAGAUUGUGUGGUUGAAAGUAGAAGAGAGAAAAAAUAGAAUGUAAUGUAAUUGAAUUUAAUGGGGAUCAAAUAGGGGUUUAAUCUUGUAGUCGAGUUUGUUUUAUUGUUUACUAGGGUUGAAGGAUUUUUCGAAGGGUGUUUGAUUCUUCCUCAUUCAUGAUGACAAAGACGAGAUCAAAAUUCGAGGAAUUGGAAUACUUGGGUAAAUUAUUAGUCUUCAUAUCUUUGGUUUUAGAAAUAGUGCCCUACAUUGUCAAUCUUUUCCUUCUAAUGUUUGUGAAUAUAUCUUGCUCUCUAUGUAUUGAUGCGGUGAGAUAUUUAGGGUUUUGAGAUUCAAGAUUGGUGACUGAUGGAAUCAGGGAUGGAUCAGUACGAGAUCAUGGAGAAAAUUGGUCAAGAAGCUUUUGGGGCAGCCAUUUUUUUCAAUCACAAGCUGGAAAGAAAAAAAGUAUAUCAUAUGAAAUUAUAUUAGUUCCAUUCAUUUUCGUAUGAUUUUGCAAAAACUGUUUUGAAAAGUUCGCAAAAAUGUAACAGUUUUUUCCCCUUAUUCUUGAAAUGAAAAAUAGGUACAUGCUUAAGAAGAUUUGGUUGGCUCGACGAAUAGAAUGUUAUAGAAGAUAUGCUCAUCUAGAGUUAUAGUGAUGUAAUUUUACCUUUUAUAAUUUAUUUAUUUUUUUGUUGUAUUAUUUAAGUUUCAUGACUAAGAAUUUGUUUUGUGUACUAA